RNAcentral lists this ribosomal RNA (1087 nucleotides) under Enterococcus faecalis. RNAcentral's name for it is "bacterial SSU rRNA". It matches the Rfam family "Bacterial small subunit ribosomal RNA", at positions 64 to 1108 of the family's 1533-position model. Lineage: Bacteria; Bacillati; Bacillota; Bacilli; Lactobacillales; Enterococcaceae. The record is from RNAcentral.
UUACUCCCUUUCCAUUUUGCUUAUAAUGCAGUCGAACGCUUCUUUCCUCCGAGUGCUUGCACUCAAUUGGAGAGAGGAGUGGCGGACGGGUGAGUAACACGUGGGUAACCUACCCAUCAGAGGGGGAUAACACUUGGAAACAGGGGCUAAUACCGCAUAACAGUUUAUGCCGCAUGGCAUAAGAGUGAAAGGCGCUUUCGGGUGUCGCUGAUGGAUGGACCCGCGGUGCAUUAACUAGUUGGUGAGGUAACGGCUCACCAAGGCCACGAUGCAUAGCCGACCUGAGAGGGUGAUCGGCCACACUGGGACUGAAACACGGCCCAGACUCCUACGGGAGGCAGCAGUAGGGAAUCUUCGGCAAUGGACGAAAGUCUGACCGAGCAACGCCGCGUGAGUGAAGAAGGUUUUCGGAUCGUAAAACUCUGUUGUUAGAGAAGAACAAGGACGUUAGUAACUGAACGUCCCCUGACGGUAUCUAACCAGAAAGCCACGGCUAACUACGUGCCAGCAGCCGCGGUAAUACGUAGGUGGCAAGCGUUGUCCGGAUUUAUUGGGCGUAAAGCGAGCGCAGGCGGUUUCUUAAGUCUGAUGUGAAAGCCCCCGGCUCAACCGGGGAGGGUCAUUGGAAACUGGGAGACUUGAGUGCAGAAGAGGAGAGUGGAAUUCCAUGUGUAGCGGUGAAAUGCGUAGAUAUAUGGAGGAACACCAGUGGCGAAAGCGGCUCUCUGGUCUGUAACUGACGCUGAGCUCGAAAGCGUGGGGAGCAAACAGGAUUAGAUACCCUGGUAGUCCACGCCGUAAACGAUGAGUGCUAAGUGUUGGAGGGUUUCCGCCCUUCAGUGCUGCAGCAAACGCAUUAAGCACUCCGCCUGGGGAGUACGACCGCAAGGUUGAAACUCAAGGAAUUGACGGGGGCCCGCACAGCGUGGAGCAUGUGGUUUAAUUCGAAGCACGCGAAGAACCUUACCAGUCUUGACAUCUUUGACCCCUCUAGAGAUAGAGCUUUCCCUCGGGACAAGUGAAGUGUGCAUGUGUCGUCAGCUCAUGUCUGGGAUGUUGGGUAGUCCCGCACGAGCGCACCUAUGUA